AGUGUAUGCCGAUGUUAACAAGAAGCCUAAGUUGUGGGACGAUUCCCCGCAUGGUGGUCCGCACUAUUUCGUCGACUAAUGUUCUGCAGCGAAAGUGGGGAAACCAACCCAGCAAGACUGAACAUAAGGAUCCAAAAAAGCACAGCUAUGACCAUGACCCCAUUCCAAGACCCACCACAGACAAACUGCUCGAAGAGCUUAACGAAAAAAGAUGGACUAUGCUGAAACUAUCAAAGCAGCAAAAAGAGACUACCAAGGAAGAAUCCAAAUGAAGAUCAAGAUCAAAUCCAAAACUGAGUGAAAGUUGAAUCAAGACUGACAUAAUAUGAUAUUCAGAAUGUACUUUUUGUUAAUUUGAAACAUUCGUGGACAUGUGAAUUGAAUGAUUUAAAUUAAAGUCUUACAAAUUGUUUGGCCACUCUAUUCAAAUCGCCAUUAUACAACGUAGUACAGGAUUGGAAAUGUUGCAGUUAAGUCUUUUUUUAAUCAUUGCAUAAUUUCCUGUGAUAAGAAUGCGAUAAGGCUAUCUACUGUUGCUUGAAAAUUUCAGUGACUUAUGUUGGUUCUUUUUACAUAACACUUCAUAUAUCACGUCACUGAUUACUGCGCUUGAGCCAAAGAUAGAUAUGGAAGAGUUUAAUUGGGAGAUUUUAACAAUAGUAGCACUAUUUAGUUAAUUAAUUAAUAAGUUACUAAUUAAUAGUAUUAAUUAAUUACUACAUCAGUAGCUUACUAUGUAAUAACUGGUUAUGAGAGGUAGCUGAUUCUAGUUCGUACCAAAUGCGUGGUAUUUGCUACAAACUUUGAUAUAAUUGUGAAUUUUUUGUUGAAAAUGCCCAUUAAACCUUCUAUUAA
This is a long non-coding RNA of Bolinopsis microptera, 855 nucleotides long. RefSeq lists it as uncharacterized. The transcript is spliced from 2 exons. The record is from RefSeq and is a predicted model, not a curated record. NCBI's taxonomy places the organism in Eukaryota, Metazoa, Ctenophora, Tentaculata, Lobata, Bolinopsidae.